RNAcentral lists this ribosomal RNA (119 nucleotides) under Pseudo-nitzschia subcurvata. Its description in RNAcentral is "partial 18S ribosomal RNA". It matches the Rfam family "Eukaryotic small subunit ribosomal RNA", at positions 1710 to 1828 of the family's 1831-position model. The record is from RNAcentral. Lineage: Eukaryota; Bacillariophyta; Bacillariophyceae; Bacillariales; Bacillariaceae.
CGGGAUUGUGGCUGGUUUCCUUUAUUGGAAUCUGACCACGAGAACCUGUCUAAACCUUAUCAUUUAGAGGAAGGUGAAGUCGUAACAAGGUUUCCGUAGGUGAACCUGCGGAAGGAUCA